Molecule: regulatory RNA element, 134 nt
Rfam family: RtT RNA
About the family: This family represents a bacterial cis-regulatory element known as RtT RNA. The exact function of RtT is unknown although it is thought that it may be involved in changing the cellular response in relation to amino acid starvation.
Source: Rfam
UUGCAUUUGUGCCCAUGAGGAUGAGAACCUCCGGGGGCAGGGAGGUUCGACCCGAGCAGCGCGAGGGAACGUUGCGCCAGCAACGGCCCGAAGGGCGAGUCACAAAGUGACGAGUAAUCCUCUAUCACCGACCA